RNAcentral lists this ribosomal RNA (397 nucleotides) under uncultured bacterium. RNAcentral describes it as "partial 16S ribosomal RNA". It matches the Rfam family "Bacterial small subunit ribosomal RNA", at positions 523 to 918 of the family's 1533-position model. The record is from RNAcentral.
AUACGUAGGGGGCGAGCGUUGUCCGGAAUGAUUGGGCGUAAAGGGCGCGUAGGCGGCCUGUUAAGUCUGGAGUGAAAGUCCUGUUUUCAAGAUGGGAAUUGCUUUGGAUACUGAUGGGCUUGAGUGCAGGAGAGGUUAUCGGAAUUCCCGGUGUAGCGGUGAAAUGCGGAGAGAUCGGGAGGAACACCAGUGGCGAAGGCGACUCUCUGGUCUGUAACUGACGCUGAGGCGCGAAAGCUUGGGGAGCAAACAGGAUUAGAUACCCUGGUAGUCCACGCCGUAAACGAUGAGUGCUAAGGGUUGGAGGGUUUCCGCCCUUCAGUGCUGCAGCUAACGCAUUAAGCACUCCGCCUGGGGAGUACGGCCGCAAGGCUGAAACUCAAAUGAAUUGACGGGG